CCCGCUGAACUUAAGCAUAUCAGUAAGCGGAGGAAAAGAAACUAACCAGGAUUCCCCUAGUAACGGCGAGUGAAGCGGGAAGAGCUCAAAUUUAAAAUCUGGGAGCUUUAGGUGGCUCCCCGAAUUGUAGUUUGAAGUGGCGUGUUCUGUGGCGGCAGCCUGGCGGGUCCAAGUCCCUUGGAACAGGGCGUCAGAGAGGGUGAUAACCCCGUGUCGUGGCCCGCUCCGCUUUUCGCCGCCGCAAAUAUGACGCGUCUACCAAGAGUCGGGUUGCUUGGGAAUGCAGCCCAAAGUGGGUGGUAAACCUCAUCUAAGGCUAAAUAACGGCGAGAGACCGAUAGCGAACAAGUACCGUGAGGGAAAGAUGAAAAGAACUUUGAAUAGAGAGUUAAACAGUACGUGAAAUUGUUAAAAGGGAAACGCUUGAAGUCAGUCGCGUCAUCCAGGGAUCAACCUUGCUUUUGCUUGGUGUACUUUCUGGUUGACGGGUCAGCAUCAAUUUUGACCAUUGGAAAAAGAUUAAGGGAAUGUGGCAUACAUAGUGAUGUGUUAUAGCCCUUGGUUGCAUACAAUGGUUGGGAUUGAGGAACUCAGCACGCCGCAAGGCCGGGUUUUUAUUAACCACGUACGUGCUUAGGAUGUUGGCAUAAUGGCUUUAAUCGACCCGUCUUGAAACACGG
RNAcentral lists this ribosomal RNA (680 nucleotides) under uncultured fungus. Its description in RNAcentral is "eukaryotic LSU rRNA". It matches the Rfam family "Eukaryotic large subunit ribosomal RNA", at positions 24 to 664 of the family's 3401-position model. Lineage: Eukaryota; Fungi. The record is from RNAcentral.